This 1239-nucleotide ribosomal RNA is filed under the name metagenome. RNAcentral's name for it is "bacterial SSU rRNA". It matches the Rfam family "Bacterial small subunit ribosomal RNA", at positions 110 to 1353 of the family's 1533-position model. The record is from RNAcentral.
GUAACACGUGUGCAACCAACCCCGUACCGGGAGAUAACCCGCGGAAACGUGGACUAACAUCCCAUGAGACUCGAGAGCCGCAUGGCUCUAGAUUUAAAAUUCCGGUGGUACGGGACGGGCACGCGCGACAUUAGGUAGUUGGCGGGGUAACGGCCCACCAAGCCGACGAUGUCUAGGGGUUCUGAGAGGAAGGUCCCCCACACUGGAACUGAGACACGGUCCAGACUCCUACGGGAGGCAGCAGUGAGGAAUAUUGGUCAAUGGGCGAGAGCCUGAACCAGCCAAGUCGCGUGAGGGAAGAAUGGUCUAUGGCCUGUAAACCUCUUUUGUCAGGGAAGAAUAAGGAUGACGAGCCAUUCGAUGCCAGUACUUGACGAAUAAGCAUCGGCUAACUCCGUGCCAGCAGCCGCGGUAAUACGGGGGAUGCGAGCGUUAUCCGGAUUUAUUGGGUUUAAAGGGCGCGUAGGCGGGACGGCAAGUCAGCGGUAAAAGACUGCAGCUAAACUGUAGCACGCCGUUGAAACUGUUGACCUCGAGACGAGACGAGGGAGGCGGAACAAGUGAAGUAGCGGUGAAAUGCAUAGAUAUCACUUGGAACCCCGAUAGCGAAGGCAGCUUCCCAGGCUCGUUCUGACGCUGAUGCGCGAGAGCGUGGGUAGCGAACAGGAUUAGAUACCCUGGUAGUCCACGCCGUAAACGAUGCUCACUGGAUCUUGGCGAUACACUGCCAGGGUUCAAGCGAAAGUAUUAAGUGAGCCACCUGGGGAGUACGUCGGCAACGAUGAAACUCAAAGGAAUUGACGGGGGCCCGCACAAGCGGAGGAACAUGUGGUUUAAUUCGAUGAUACGCGAGGAACCUUACCCGGGUUUAAAUGUAGAUUGCAUGAGGUGGAAACGCUUCUUCCCUUCGGGGCUAUUUACAAGGUGCUGCAUGGUUGUCGUCAGCUCGUGCCGUGAGGUGUCGGGUUAAGUCCCAUAACGAGCGCAACCCCUAUCGCCAGUUGCCAUCGGUUGAAGCCGGGCACUCUGUCGAGACUGCCACCGUAAGGUGCGAGGAAGGCGGGGAUGACGUCAAAUCAGCACGGCCCUUACACCCGGGGCGACACACGUGUUACAAUGGCCGGUACAGAGGGCAGCCACGGGGUGACCCGGAGCGAAUCUCUAAAGCCGGUCGUAGUUCGGACUGGAGUCUGCAACCCGACUCCACGAAGUUGGAUUCGCUAGUAAUCGCGCAUCAGC